UCCCUGGUGGCUCAGAGGUUAAAGCGUCUGCCUGCAAUGCAGGGGACCUGGGUUCGAUCCCUGGGUCGGGAA
RNAcentral lists this transfer RNA (72 nucleotides) under Ovis aries (sheep). It matches the Rfam family "tRNA". Rfam says of the family: Transfer RNA (tRNA) molecules are approximately 80 nucleotides in length. Their secondary structure includes four short double-helical elements and three loops (D, anti-codon, and T loops). The record is from Rfam by way of RNAcentral. Lineage: Eukaryota; Metazoa; Chordata; Mammalia; Artiodactyla; Bovidae. RNAcentral also lists the same sequence under 1 other name.